Non-coding RNA from Pelobates cultripes (western spadefoot toad), 82 nucleotides. The record is from the annotation of a GenBank genome assembly. NCBI's taxonomy places the organism in Eukaryota, Metazoa, Chordata, Amphibia, Anura, Pelobatidae.
GAUGUUGUAGUGCUGCAACUUCCAUGCUGCUUUGUUAUUGUAAAGACUGACAAAGCAUCAUGGUAGUUGUAGUUCUACAACA